GACAGGCUACAAAGCCACAGAGAAACCCUGUCUCGAAAAGCAACAACAACAGAAAAAGAGUUUGAACUUUGUUGAUUGUAUAGUCAAAGGUGCUUGAGUUGUUGACCUGAGAUCAAUAUACCUAAUAUACCUGCAUGUUAGUCUUAGGUUCUGACAGAAUGACUUGCCUGGUGUUGUUGCUGUCAGGACUCCACUGGUGUGCAGACACU
Mesocricetus auratus (golden hamster) is the source of this 209-nucleotide small nucleolar RNA. The record is from Ensembl. NCBI's taxonomy places the organism in Eukaryota, Metazoa, Chordata, Mammalia, Rodentia, Cricetidae.